GUUGAACGCUGGCGGCAGGCCUAACACAUGCAAGUCGAACGAGUGGCGGACGGGUGAGUAGUGUCUGGGCAACUGCCUGAUGGAGGGGGCUAACUACUGGAAACGGUAGCUAAUACCGCAUACCAUCGGAUGUGCCCAGAUGGGAUUAGCUAGUAGGUGGGGUAAAGGCUCACCUAGGCGACGAUCCCUAGCUGGUCUGAGAGGGUGACCAGCCACACUGGAACUGAGACACGGCCCAGACUCCUACGGGAGGCAGCAGUGGGGAAUAUUGGACAAUGGGCGAAAGCCUGAUGCAGCCACGCCGCGUGUAUGAAGAAGGCCUUCGGGUUGUAAAGUUCUUUUAUCGGGGAGGCGGUACCUGAAGAAGAAGCACCGGCUAACUCCGUGCCAGCAGCCGCGGUAAUAC
Molecule: ribosomal RNA, 406 nt
Filed under: uncultured bacterium
Lineage: Bacteria
Description: partial 16S ribosomal RNA
Rfam family: Bacterial small subunit ribosomal RNA
Source: RNAcentral